UACGGAGGAUGCAAGCGUUAUCCGGAAUGAUUGGGCGUAAAGGGUCCGCAGGUGGCAGUGUAAGUCUGCUGUCAAAGAAUGAGGCUUAACCUCAUCAAGGUAGUGGAAACUACACAGCUAGAGUACGGUCGGGGUAGAAGGAAUUCCUGGUGUAGCGGUGAAAUGCGUAGAGAUCAGGAAGAACACCGGUGGCGAAAGCGUUCUGCUAGACCUGUACUGACACUGAGGGACGAAAGCUAGGGGAGCGAAUGGG
Molecule: ribosomal RNA, 253 nt
Filed under: uncultured bacterium
Lineage: Bacteria
Description: partial 16S ribosomal RNA
Rfam family: Bacterial small subunit ribosomal RNA
Source: RNAcentral